CUGUAGAAUAUGUGGAGCUAUAGGUGGGCUGAAACAAGGAUCGAACUAGCACCACGUUAGUUAUAAAAAGCAAGUUGAAUAAACGCUCAACGGUGGUACUGUGCUGGUCCUAGCCUAGACCGUGCUAGAGACGCGAGCCUGAACACAAAGGGAAAACACAGCACACCACUAGAAACAAAAUGAGCAGCCCUACUGGAAACAAAAGGAACAACAAUCCCCUUUUUUAUUUUUUUUAUUUUUUCUUUCUUUCUUUCUUUCUUUUUCUUUAUUUUUUUUCUCUUUUCUUUUUUUUGGGGAACCUCAAAACCUGAUUAUAUAAACAAAAUAGUACAAAAUAUCACUUCACCACUCUCACUCUCUCACUAGAGUAAGGCUGAACCUCAAAAUUCAAUAUAUCUAGCACAAGUAUGAAGUGCUAUCUUUCCUUUUGGAUCACGUUGAUGGAAACACAGAAUAGACCAACAAGUGGCUGCACCUAUUAUCAAGAUCUACUCAAAUUCCAACCCACAAUAGAUUGGAUGCAGUUGUGACUAGAUGGUGACAAGAACUCAAAACUCUAAAGGACUAAACUAAAACCAGCACUGGACACGACCGAAGCAAACACUCAUUCAACUAGACCUAACUAAGUAGUACUAGCCACGGCACAAAGGAUUUAUAGGAUUAUGGAAAACUAAUCUGCUAUAUUUUUUGGCUUUUUUUGGACUAUAGGAAAAACAAACACGAAGAAUUGGAAAUCUCUCACCGAUAAACCUUGCUCUGAUUACCAACUGAUGUGAACCCACUAGGGUUUUCGCCUGAUCUUUCGAUGAGAGGCGCUGGAUAACUCGAUUAGUGAAUGGAGAUGACAUUCACGGCCCGACUACAGCCUUCUAAGGCCGCGCCUUAGCAACCGAUACACCGCCUCCAAUGGCUGUCACGAUCUUGUGGAGCGCAACACCCGGCCACUAGGGCACUCGUCCUGCAAGCAAUCGAAGAACCAGCAAGAACAAGUAGAACAAGUACUAAAUUACUAGAUGUAAAUGAAGGUUUCAAACUCAAUCUCUAAUGAAGUGGGGUUUCGAAAACAAGAAGACGGGCGGCUGGAUCAGCACGCGCGUUUACAAGCAAGUAGCGAAGGCUAAACUUUAUCUAAUCAAAACCCAGUUGUUCAUGGCGGCUCUAGAUGUAAAUAAAUAGAUGGGAGGACGACCAAAGGGGUGCUAGAGUCGUCCUCCAACCCUAGGACACGUCCCUAAUGGACUCAACUUGAUACAUGGGCCAUUGGUCCAAAAUAGAGUGACGCAGCACCAAAACAGAAAAACAUGUCGGCACAAAAACAAGGACUGCGCCCGACUCAUAAGCUGCAUAGAUAUGUGGUUGGACCCAUUGGAAAGUAGACUUCAUGAGCUUUCCAACAAGUAUAGGAACGUCCCAGUUGGAGUCAUAUGACGCCGUGGUGAUCCAUACAAGUUAGAGUUAUUUUCCAGUCCGAAUCCAACUCCCAAAACGUGUUGGGUUUGAACUCUUUGUUUCCUUGCUUUAGAAGCGACGUGGUAACUUGAUAGAGGAUGUUGUGGAGGCUUGGACCUGAUCUCCAAUCACCUUUCUUAAGUUAUCACUCUUCCCAUAUGCAAUCAGCCCUUGAAGUUGGUGUUGCCUCAAAUUCCGAAUGCAGUUGAACCUUCCCUUGCUGAUCUUGUCCAUUAUUCCUGAGCAACACGUAAGUGCACGUGUCUCCAUUGUCUAAAUAUGAUUGACAAGAGUUUAAAACUGAACUUACUUGAAGGUUGAGUUGACGGGCACGAGCAUGAGUAAGAGGACCAACUGGUGUAGGUAUAUCGAUGGUGUUGAUGUCCUCAUCAUCCUCCCUUUCUUGGAUUUGAGUCGUCCUCAACUCAAGCUCAUGUUCCUCACCCAAAUAUGGUUUCAAAUCAGCAAGUAUGUCCUCCGUCUUCUUUGCUCCAAAAUGUCCCAUCAAACCUCCUCCAUGAGCUUCCUGUAACAACAACAAACGAACAGAGCUAGCUGGAAUGCAUAGCUUGUUAGCUCUAAACACAAACCCAUCACUAACGAUGAAUUUGUUCCAUCCUUUUCCAUCUUUACAACGCAGCAACACUUCAUUAAAAUCAGCAUCAUGAACAUAUUGGUCUUUGAUCGUUUCUAAUCCAAAAAUCUUGUAAUCAAGUUGAUUUAGCAAAGUAUAUCUCCUUGACAAAGCAUCAGCAAUGAUAUUCUCCUUCCCUUUCUUGUGCUUAAUAACAUAAGGAAAGGAUUCAAUAAAUUCUACCCACUUAGCAUGUCUGCGAUUUAGUUUUCCUUGACUACGAAUAUGUUUUAAAGAUUCAUGAUCAGAAUGAAUAACAAACUCUUUGGGCCACAAAUAAUGUUGCCAUGUUUCUAAAGUUCGGACAAGAGCAUACAAUUCUUUAUCAUAAGUUGAAUAGUUCAGAACAGGCCCACUCAAUUUCUCACUAAAAUAUGCAACAGGUUUACCCUCUUGUAGCAAAACACCUCCCAAACCAAUCCCACUAGCAUCACACUCAAGCUCAAAAUUCUUAUUAAAAUCAGGAAGCUGUAGGAGAGGUGCAUGUGAUAACUUAUCUUUUAACAUGUUGAAGGAAUUCUCUUGUACUUUGCUCCACACAAAAGGCACUCCCUUCUUUGUAAGCUCAUUCAAUGGUGCAGCAAUGGUCCAACUGCCCAAGCUUGUCAUUCGUCACCUUCAAGUCGUCAUCAAGUCCCUCUGUGUGUAGCUUCACUUGCCUUUGAAAAUGUUGUAUGAUGCCCUUAGUGCGAGGUGACUGUGGAAUUUUGUUGGUAUCCUCUGUCUCUGACAUGGUUUAAAAAACACACAGUGGAAACAAGAAAAAUAGGUGAAGAAAUAAAAACCCUACAGCUAUUAGGAUGUGGCUACUGUAAGACGCUCUCUAUCAACCUGUCUAACAAGUUCUUACCAAUUCUUACCUUGCUCAACAGGAGGGAUUGGCUACCAACAAAUCCACAGCAAUAGACGAAGUGUAUCGGUGCCGCAGCAACAAAACCUAUCAAGCUGUAGAAUAUGUGGAGCUAUAGGUGGGCUGAAACAAGGAUCGAACUAGCACCACGUUAGUUAUAAAAAGCAAGUUGAAUAAACGCUCAACGGUGGUACUGUGCUGGUCCUAGCCUAGACCGUGCUAGAGACGCGAGCCUGGACACAAAGGGAAAACACAGCACACCACUAGAAACAAAAUGAGCAGCCCUACUGGAAACAAAAGGAACAACAAUCCCCUUUUUUAUUUUUUUUAUUUUUUCUUUCUUUCUUUCUUUCUUUCUUUCUUUUUCUUUAUUUCUUUCUCUUUUCUUUUUUUUGGGAACCUCAAAACCUGAUUAUAUAAACAAAAUAGUACAAAAUAUCACUUCACCACUCUCACUCUCUCACUAGAGUAAGGCUGAACCUCAAAAUUCAAUAUAUCUAGCACAAGUAUGAAGUGCUAUCUUUCCUUUUGGAUCACGUUGAUGGAAACACAGAAUAGACCAACAAGUGGCUGCACCUAUUAUCAAGAUCUACUCAAAUUCCAACCCACAAUAGAUUGGACGCAGUUGUGACUAGAUGGUGACAAGAGCUCAAAACUCUAAAGGACUAAACUAAAACCAGCACUGGACACGACCAAAGCAAACACUCAUUCAACUAGCCCUAACUAAGUAGUACUAGCCACGGCACAAAGGAUUUAUAGGAUUAUGGAAAACUAAUCUGCUAUAUUUUUUGGCUUUUUUUUGACUAUAGG
This 3743-nucleotide long non-coding RNA is filed under the name Sorghum bicolor (sorghum). RNAcentral describes it as "long non-coding RNA (SBIC_LNC018524)". Lineage: Eukaryota; Viridiplantae; Streptophyta; Magnoliopsida; Poales; Poaceae. The record is from RNAcentral.